RNAcentral lists this ribosomal RNA (490 nucleotides) under uncultured bacterium. RNAcentral's name for it is "partial 16S ribosomal RNA". It matches the Rfam family "Bacterial small subunit ribosomal RNA", at positions 28 to 507 of the family's 1533-position model. The record is from RNAcentral.
GAUGAACGCUAGCUACAGGCUUAACACAUGCAAGUCGAGGGGCAGCAUGGUCUUAGCUUGCUAAGGCCGAUGGCGACCGGCGCACGGGUGAGUAACACGUAUCCAACCUGCCGUCUACUCUUGGACAGCCUUCUGAAAGGAAGAUUAAUACAAGAUGGCAUCAUGAGUCCGCAUGUUCACAUGAUUAAAGGUAUUCCGGUAGACGAUGGGGAUGCGUUCCAUUAGAUAGUAGGCGGGGUAACGGCCCACCUAGUCUUCGAUGGAUAGGGGUUCUGAGAGGAAGGUCCCCCACAUUGGUACUGAGACACGGUCCAAACUCCUACGGGAGGCAGCAGUGAGGAAUAUUGGUCAAUGGGCGCAGGCCUGAACCAGCCAAGUAGCGUGAAGGAUGACUGCCCUAUGGGUUGUAAACUUCUUUUAUAAAGGAAUAAAGUCGGGUAUGUAUACCCGUUUGCAUGUACUUUAUGAAUAAGGAUCGGCUAACUCCGUG